CCAGCAGCCGCGGUAAUUCCAGCUCCAAUAGCGUAUACUAAAGUUGUUGCAGUUAAAAAGCUCGUAGUCGAAUUCGGACUCGUACGCGCGAAUCGAUCCCAAAAAGAUCCUUGGCGCGUCGAGUCCAUGUUUGUUGUUAGCAGGUUCGUUCUGCAAAGAACGGUCAGCAAAGCAGCAUUUUUUACUGUGAACAAAAUAGAGUGUUCAUGGCAGGCCUGUGUAAGGCUUAGAUACCUCAGCAUGGAAUAAUAGAAUAGGACUUCCGGUUCUAUUUUGUUGGUUUUUGGAGCCGAAGUAAUGAUUAAUAGGGAUAGUUGGGGGCACUCGUACUCCGUUGUCAGAGGUGAAAUUCUUGGAUUUACGGAAGACGAACAACUGCGAAAGCAUCUGCCAAGGAUGUUUUCAUUGAUCAAGAACGAAAGG
This 423-nucleotide ribosomal RNA is filed under the name uncultured eukaryote. RNAcentral describes it as "SSU rRNA". It matches the Rfam family "Eukaryotic small subunit ribosomal RNA", at positions 567 to 990 of the family's 1831-position model. The record is from RNAcentral.